Molecule: long non-coding RNA, 2774 nt
Organism: Equus caballus (horse)
Lineage: Eukaryota; Metazoa; Chordata; Mammalia; Perissodactyla; Equidae
Source: Ensembl
ACUGGGUUCCUUAUCUGGUUCUGAACUCGGAUGGGAACUGGGGAGCUAGACAGCUCUGGGCCACCAUUUCCCCAGAAUACUCACACCUCUGCCCUGAUUGCUCCUGAUCUUGCUCCGGGGAGGUCCGGGGAGACCCUCAGCACAGGACUCUGCUCCCAAAGUGUCCCUCUGACUGGGCCACCAUAGGCGUCACAUGGGCAGUCACAGCAAACAGCUCAGCGGCGAUGGGGGUGUCGCUGUGACCAAAAACCACUUCGUAUGAUCCUGUCACUGAGUAGAUGUGGUCCUCAGAAACGUAACUAGACGUAUUAGCAAGAAGUAUGAUUUGGUUAGAAGAAAUUCGUGCAAAUCACAUGUGACAACGUUGCCUUCCUCAGAUAGCUAGCUUUGUUAUCUCUCAAUGCAAUGUGCAUAUUUGCAGGUCAUAUGUCUAAAUUCCAUGAAACGCAGCAUUAUUCUCUUAUUAGUCAAAACCCUAUGCCCCUAGAGAACAGUCCUUGCUCUUAUGACUAUCAUAUAUUGGGAAAAUAACUCAUCCCCUACUCAGAACAGCAGCAUUCCCCACCCCACAACAAAAGAGAUGCAAGAAGCAAGAGACAGAGGAAGGAGUCAGGCCACAGGAAUCCCCCAGCAUAGACUGGCCAGCCAAUGCACGGAGGGGCGACAGACACCUUCCCACAGGUCUCCCUCUCGUUCCAAAAUGGGAGAAAGACAGCGAGCUUAUCAAACUCUUCUUCUAGUGAAGCCAUUCUUCUGAGCCUAAUUCUGGAAAACCUCGGUCCUUGUUCUGGUCAUUCAGCUUUAUAACUGUCCUAGACAUCCUGGUGGUGCCUCUAACCUUUUCUGAGCAUGAAGCUGCCCUUCUGGGCUCAGCAAGUCCUUCCAUGAAUUGGCUCCUAUGUUUCUUCUUCAUAUUUUUAUGCUCGAACAAAGUGUUUAUACAUUAAUCCAUGACUUCGACAGCCCACCCUGGGGGAAGUCCCCGGAGGGGUCAUCCUGCUACUAAAGAGGGUGACCUCCUGACCUGGGUCUCCUGUUUUCUGCAAAGCAUCACAGUGAAGAUUAAAUGAGGAUCCUUCUCGUCACCACAAAACAUCCUUAAAAGGUAUUUUGGAAGAGGAACGGGAGAGGCCAUUGCAGUCUUUGAAGAUGAAAGGACGUGGAAUGGAGAAGGAGACAAUUCUGGGACAUUCCAAGAGAAACGAAUGAGCACAAGGGGAACUUAAAGCUGGAAAACAGGCAAAAAUGCACACAUCCCCUGAGAGUUGGACGUCUGAGCCCGUUCGUGGGGGGAUAUAGAGUGCAGGGGGAGCAGGGUGAGCUUCCACCAUGCAGACCUGAAUUCAAAUCUCACUGAGGCACAAUCAGUUGUGCAAAACGGGGCACAUUCCAUGAAGCCUGUGGGCCUCAGUGUCCUCACCUGCAAGAUGGAGGCGCGAGCACGGAUCUCAUGGCUUUGUGGGGAUUGGAGGGGCCGGUUCAAGUAAUGUCUGUGCUCAGAGGUGCUCACGGUGAAUACGGGGCAGGCUGUGCUCUGUGGCUGCAUAGAGACACGGGGAUCUAAGCAUGGCCUCUUGUCUCUUGAGGACAUUCACUUCCCCGGCAGUAACUCUGGCACAGUGUUCUCACGGCACACCCUGCCAACUUCAUAACCUUCGUGAGAUUUGUCGUCCUGAGUGGCGUCCAGUCCCAAGGGUACUUUGGCAUUUAUGACAGUCUGGCUGUCCCCUAAUAGUGGCCACAAGGCAGUCUAAAGUCACAUUGGUUACACUGGACCCUCAGUGAUGGCCUCCGGUCCUCACCAGCCAGCUGCCAACCCAUCAGAGGGAGAAAGGAAUUCUCAAGACCCUCCAUGUAUACUGCAGUUUGAGCAAAUCGAUAGACGUGACAAACAGCCAGUGCUGGGGACUGGGGACAUAUUGAAGGCGUGACUGUGUAAACGCUCGCAGACACAACGCAGGGGACCUUACAGGGCAGGGCUGCGCUGAGGGAGUCUACGGCAAAAUGAGCUGCCCGCUCGGGUCAGGCUUCCCGCCGCGCGAGCGUCUGCGCUCUUGUCCCUGGUAAUUGUUGGUGGCAGCAGAGCCCAGGAGGAGCGAGGGCAGGUCUUCAGCCACACUGGCUCUGCAUUUCAUCGCAGCGCAGGCUGCUGAGCCAUCCUGUCGGUGACCACCUCCCGGAGGGCAGGGCGCCUCGGAAACACCAAGCCCGUCGUCCGGAGUCAAGAGGCCCGCCGUCACAGCCGCGGUGAAUUCUGAGGCUCUCCUGGAGAAAGGCUGGAACAGAAAAUCACUUUGGGCUAUUCUUAAAAUGUUUGCAAUUUCUUCGGUAUCCAGGAAGCAGUUUGUGCUAAAGGAAGGGAAAUAUGUUAAUAUGGUAUUUCUCUUAAAAAGGGAAGAUUUGAGAGAUACAAUCUGAAAAAUUUAAACUUAUGUCGACAACUGACAAGUACGAUGGUAUUCCAAUAAUUUUAAUACUGAAUUUUAAUAAUUUUGAUAUGUGGGUUUUCGUGACUUCUAUCAUUUGUGAGUAUAUUUCUAUUUUCCUAAAAGUGUAGUUUUUUUUGAAAAAAAUUAUGGUAGACUAUUACUAGGCAACUGCCAUAAUUAUACUUUGACAAGGGACUCACAAUUUUGUGACUGAAAUGAUCAUUUAUUUCUCAAAAAUUUCUGUUUUAAUAAUUAAAUAUAUUGCUUUUUAGAUUCUUUAAAUCUUUAAUUUAAAUGUAAAAGGGAAAUAAAAUUAUUUAAUAAUUGUGUGAUUAUAGUAAAAUG